This 414-nucleotide ribosomal RNA is filed under the name uncultured prokaryote. RNAcentral's name for it is "bacterial SSU rRNA". It matches the Rfam family "Bacterial small subunit ribosomal RNA", at positions 505 to 918 of the family's 1533-position model. The record is from RNAcentral.
GUGUCAGCCGCCGCGGUAAUACGAAGGGGGCUAGCGUUGCUCGGAAUGACUGGGCGUAAAGGGCGCGUAGGCGGAUGGUACAGUCAGAUGUGAAAUUCCCGGGCUCAACCUGGGGGCUGCAUUUGAUACGUGCUGUCUAGAGUGAGGAAGAGGGUCGUGGAAUUCCCAGUGUAGAGGUGAAAUUCGUAGAUAUUGGGAAGAACACCGGUGGCGAAGGCGGCGACCUGGUCCUUUACUGACGCUGAGGCGCGAAAGCGUGGGGAGCAAACAGGAUUAGAUACCCUGGUAGUCCACGCCGUAAACGAUGUGUGCUGGAUGUUGGGUGACAUAGUCACUCAGUGUCGUAGCUAACGCGAUAAGCACACCGCCUGGGGAGUACGGCCGCAAGGUUGAAACUCAAAUGAAUUGACGGGG